AAUUCGAUUAGAGUUUGAUCCUGGCUCAGGACGAACGCUGGCGGCGUGCCUAACACAUGCAAGUCGAACGGGGUAUUAGCAAUAAUACCUAGUGGCGAACGGGUGAGUAACGCGUGAGCAACCUGACCUUUUGAGGGGGAUAACAACCGGAAACGGUUGCUAAUACCGCAUAAGACCACACUGCCACAUGGCAGAGAGGUCAAAGGAGUAAUCCGCAGAAGGAGGGGCUCGCGUCCCAUUAGAUAGUUGGUGAGGUAACGGCCCACCAAGUCAGCGAUGGGUAGCCGAGCUGAGAGGCUGAUCGGCCACACUGGAACUGAGACACGGUCCAGACUCCUACGGGAGGCAGCAGUGGGGAAUAUUGGGCAAUGGGGGAAACCCUGACCCAGCAACGCCGCGUGAGGGAAGAAGGCUUUCGGGUUGUAAACCUCUGUCGCAGGGGAAGAAACAAAUGACGGUACCCUGUGAGGAAGCCCCGGCUAACUACGUGCCAGCAGCCGCGGUAAUACGUAGGGGGCGAGCGUUGUCCGGAAUUACUGGGCGUAAAGGGUGCGUAGGUGGCAAUUUAAGUCGGAUGUGAAAUCCCCGGGCUUAACCUGGGUGGUGCAUUCAAAACUGGAUAGCUAGAGUGCAGGAGAGGGAAGCGGAAUUCCUAGUGUAGCGGUGAAAUGCGUAGAUAUUAGGAGGAACACCAGUGGCGAAGGCGGCUUUCUGGACUGUAACUGACACUGAGGCACGAAA
Molecule: ribosomal RNA, 741 nt
Filed under: uncultured bacterium
Lineage: Bacteria
Description: bacterial SSU rRNA
Rfam family: Bacterial small subunit ribosomal RNA
Source: RNAcentral